UAGGUUAUUUUCAUGUUGCACUGGUCAUCUCUCCACGUGAUUGAGCUGACAUGGUCAUGGCACUUAUGCAAUUCCUCACGGCAAACCCCUUCUUGUUGGUUGCAAAGGCAGAUCGCACGACCUCACAGAAGUUGUUAGUCUUCACCUGCAUUUGCUUUUGGCUUAAAAACUUUCUUCAACUUUUGCAUUCCUUUUUCAUGAUUGCACACAUCAUGUGAAUAUUCUAUCCAUGUGGUGAUAGUUGUGAGCUACAACUCACCUUU
This 263-nucleotide long non-coding RNA is filed under the name Hordeum vulgare. RNAcentral describes it as "long non-coding RNA (HVUL_LNC006286)". Lineage: Eukaryota; Viridiplantae; Streptophyta; Magnoliopsida; Poales; Poaceae. The record is from RNAcentral.